GCGGGGUGGGUGGGUGUGUGUUCUGGUAGUAUGAUUUUGUGCAUGUUUUCUAAUACUUACUAACAUAGAGACCUUGAUAAGUGGAUUUUAUACAGCCACUUAUUUUUAAAUAUUUAAAUAAAUAUUAGCUUUUUAUCCACAUACAUUGUUACAUUUGUCCAUUGUACAUAUGCAUUGUGCCAUUUUCUUGUUAUGCUUCCAAUUUCUGUUAUUUUUCAUUGUCACACAUGAGGAUUUUAAAAACAUUUAAAAUUAUUAGAAAACAGACAACAAACAAAACAGGGAACAUUUCUUUGUGCCAAAGAGGAGUUCUCACUGUUAUGUUGAAAGUUUUAUAUACAUUAAUUAUUCUUGUCUACUUUGCAUCCAAACGACUGUCUGUGAAAGAUAGAAAGAUAGAAAAUACAUACACACGUGUGUGUGUGUGUGUGUGUAUACACACCCACACUCUUAUACUAUGUGUAUGCAUUUGUGUUUCUUCACAGAAUAUGCUAUUAAAAUCAAUCAGGUCUGAUACAUUUUUAAAUUGAUGGGGAAAAAUCAACUGAUUGAACAGCAGUUUCUGUAGUGUGCUGUGUUGUAUCAGUUAAAAUGAAAAUAAAUGUCAUGCAAAAAACCAUAUCCAACCCUCCCUCCACCAGCAAAAAACAACAACAAACAACCUUUUCAACUCCUGAUUUUUAGCCAUCAGGAGUGGAGAGAGACACAGACAGCAUGGUCCCAGCAUGCUUUUUGCCGUUUUUUUUUGUUUGCACAUUAGCUGUCAGUUGCAGCCCUGCAGGUAGUAGAACCCAGUGGGAAGAGGGGCGGGACAGAAUGAUGCAGCCUGAACUGACAGCAAAUUUAAAUCACUGAGCCUUCUUUUUUUUUUUUUUCCCUCCUUUGGUUUUUUUUUUAUUAUUAUUAUUUUUUCUACUCUGCGACAAACUGAAAAGAUUCUAGCACACGUUAAUUUAACAACCCUGCUUCUUCUGUUUUUUUCCCUCCUUUCUGCUUCCAGGAUAAUUAAAAGAGAAACCUGUAAAGGCAACAUUCCUUCAAGCGAGUUGGUGCUGCAACGUGCUGAUAUUCAGCUGAAAACUGAAAAACAACUGAAAAACAAGGACUAGAGAGACUGCCACAGAGUUAGCUGGAACAUUACCAAGUCACAAAGGAAUGCUUACCAUUCUGCAUCUGGGAAAAAUGAAAAUAGAGAUUCAACAGCAGCUGACUAGUUAAUCCUUGCUUGAAGACAUUGGUAUUUACUAUGUUUCAUAAUCAUUUAGUUGUGUCAUUUUCCUUAGUUUUAAGGGUAGAGUAUGUCCAAUCUGAUUGCACUGCAUGUCAUUAACUUAACUUUGACUUGGCAUUAGUUGACAAUAUGAAGUGAAAAUAUGAAACCUUUGUACAGCAGAAGUGAAUUCUACCCUGGUAGUUUUAAAUGCUUUGAAGUUAAAAUGAGAAAUCUACACUAAGAGCUUGAGUAAGCAUCCAGUUUCUAUCUCACUGCUAAUGGAAACCUAACUGUGUGUUUGAAUUCUUGCCACAGCUGAAAUUAAAGUCUGGUGGUAAUAUGUCACAAGUAGAAAUUAGAUUAUAUGAGCAAUGUGCAUGAGGCAUUGUAAUUGUAUUAUAAAUAUUAAAGCCAAUGAUCUUGUCUAGAUUAAAACAAAUGUUUACAGCUGUGUGAGUCUUGGCGUUCUUCUUCUAAUCUUCAAGCUUUUUUCUGGUGUGACCUGUCAUUGCUUUUGUUUCAGUAGUAGACUUCUUUGAUUUACUCUUUAUUGAUUAGUUUUUGAGAUAUUCUUUGUUCAAACUGCAAAUUAAUACUUUUGAUAUUAACGAUUCAUAAAUUUAGAACCUAAUCCAAGAAUUUUUUUCUUCUGUCGAUGCUGAUUUUCUUCCCAAAAUGAUUCAUUUCAAUAGACACAAUUUUAGGUAUUGGGAUUUUAAAAAUAUAAAAGAAAUAACUGUUCUUUUGUAGAUACUGUGCUAUCCACACAUUUGCCUAAUGAGACAAACAAACAAAAAAAAAGGCCACUCCGCCGCAGUUCAGAAUAUUAAAACUUAUUUAUGUAACUAAACAGAGAAAAGUCAUUAUGUUUACAAAUAGUCAUAAGCAUAUACGUGGUAUAAAUUGUUCAAAUCCUUUCCUUCAUUAGUAAAUUGGCCCAAAAGAAUCUCCUCUUUAACCCUUCCGAGCAUAUGGAAGUGUGUAUAUGUGUAUGCUAUGUAUUUGUCUGCUCAUCUGAAGGAUGUCAGCAUUUUCAGGGUUAAUGGUGCCUCCAGGGGUUUUCUGGCUUUGUCAACAUACUAAAAAUAAAUAUUCUUUCCAAAUUUGUGCACAGAUUAAUUGGAUUAUAUAUAAAAAAGUGCGUGCUCCAAUUUCCCAGAAAAGAGUUAAUAAAUUAGGAAACAUGUUUUCUUUCUCUCCUGUCCUAAUUAAGAGACUCAUAAGUGUGUGUUCAAAAAGUAAAGGUAAGAAAAGAAUCCCUGUUAAAACACAGGAGGGUGGAUUGUUUGGUUUUUUUUUCAUGUUGGCAUCAGCCAUCAAAUGCUGUUGAGCAUUUUCUGAAUAAUCAUUUUAAAUAGGAAGACACGUUUUCUUCUGAUUUACUUAGCCAAAAGAUUCACCAACAGAUUUCAUAAGUGCUUAGGGUCAAGAUGGAGAAAAAUUGAAAAACUGAGUUUUGUAAACUUCUGUUAAAAGGAAAUUUAAUGGAUAAUUUUGUGUUUGUAGAAAGAUAUAAAUUAGAAACAAAUACAUGAUGGGAUUAACUGCAAGAACUUGAUAGCUAGGUUUUAUACUACGUGUCUUUGUCUUUACUGCCUUAUUUCUGUUGAUAUGUUUAGAUAAUAUAGAAUAGAGAGAGAAUUGAUUUUAAACUUAAAAUCCAAUAGAUUCAACUUCAUUAUUUUAUUAUAUAUAUAUAUAUAUAUAUAAGGCCAUGGAUUUUUGUUUUUCGAAGAAAGGUUUUCUAUGUAUAACAGCACAUCAAAGAAAAGAUCUUCAUAAGGAAAACUUCAUAAUAUUGUUAGGUUGUUCAUUGCAUGACCUAUUUAGAGUACUCAGAUUAUUCUUGUUGUAGACUACAUAAUUAAAUUUUAAAUGGAACAUGAUAAAGAAAUUAUACUGGUGAUCUCCGGAGACUUGAAUACCCUAUUUGGCUCUUUACAAGAGUGUAGCAAAGGCAUAUUUUAAAAUUUAAUAAAGGUCUGGCCUCAUUUUUUUCCUCUUAGAUUUUCUAGAGCUGCUGUGCCAAUCCUGUUCCAAAGCUACUUUUGCAGAUCUAUACUAUCUACAUGUUACCUGAAAUAACAGAUCAAAAUAUAGUUCUUAAAAGCAUGUUUAUCUUGACUUGAGAAAUCCGUUAUUUAAGCAUGAUACAGCAUAGCUGAUCAAUCAAACUAGUCUCAUAAAACCUACAGUGCCUGAAUUGGUACCUGUAGAAAAUUGGGCUUCAUCUUGUUUUGGUAACAUUUGUGUUGUCCUUAGAACUUAUCAAGCAAAAGAGGCAGAGUAUUAUUUUGGAGCAACAGGCAUUUUGCAAUGUAGACUGCCUAUUCUCAGAGCAUAAAUUGCACUCCAUGAGGGGGUCAAAGAGACAAGACAACACAGCCAAGGAACAAAUAAGAAUACUUGGCUUCCACAUCUAAGGAGCCGUUUUCGUCUCUAGGGUAAAUAAAACAUGUUUCCUAACCUUCCAUGAUUUUUUUAUAUAUAUAUUUAAAGAGACAUAAUCUGUAUAAAAUCCUAUAUUUUAAAUAUUUAUCUCUUUACUAUUAUACUAAUAACAGCUUAGGUUAUUACUGCUAAAAGAAAAUUUAAGAUCUUAUUAACUUGCUAUGUUUUGUGCUGCUGGCUUAAUUUUGCGUUUCAUUCAUCAGUACUUGGGAGAAUGAAGUGAACCGGUCACUUCCUGUAGUAACCCAGGGCUCUUGUUUGCAUUUCCAGAACUCCAGGGAAAUGUGUAAAAUGCCUGUGUAAAUGAAAGUAAGAAUAGAUCCAAGAGCUGUUGUUGAAAUUAGAUCAAAAUUUGAGUAAGGUUUUUUUUAUUACACUGUGUUAGUAAUUGGCCUCUUCAAACAAUAAAUAAACAAAUAAA
Molecule: long non-coding RNA, 4085 nt
Organism: Chelonia mydas (Green sea turtle)
Lineage: Eukaryota; Metazoa; Chordata; Testudines; Cheloniidae
Exons: 4
Source: RefSeq, a predicted model, not a curated record